AUAGGGGUGCGGUUUGCACAGCAAGAGGACCGUUUUCCUUACAUCGUGUCCCAGCCUUUGCCUUGGCAGGUACACUCAGUGUCACAUAGUCGGAGGAGCAGCAAAGCAGAUGAGUUUGAUGGCUACAGGAGGAACAGCAUAGGCGUGUAUAGAAAGAACUCUUCCUCCAUGGCUAUUGCUUCAGCCUCUCUGGCUAUCCUGUCGUGCUCGGGCUCCAAGACCAGCAAUGGGACCGCUGCUCCCCCGCUCAGCCCGGUGGAGGUGGAGAAGGCCGCCGCCACCAUCCAGACCCAUUACAGGAAGUUCCAGCAGAAGAAACAGAAGAACGGCAAGUAGGCGGACAAAGAGGGAUGGAGGUACCGAUGCAGCAGCCUGGGAGACAACAGGAAGCAGGUGGGAGGAAUCUGGAUUCACCAAACAACGGAUGAACUCUGUGACUAUACAAAUGCACACAUAUUCAUACUGUACAAUAUACAUUUAGGGGAGCUUUGAAUUAGUAAAACACUGUGCAGAAUAAAAUAACCGUAGUAGUUUCUUUCUCCAACAACUGGAAAGAUUUUAAAUUCUAUGUGAAUGAUUUGUUGUAUAUAUUACAAAAUCUGAAUGAAUGUUAGUUGUGUGCUCUGAAUACUGAGUGACUGUGUGUGUGACUGUGAAUGCUGUUAAUAAAUAUAACCAAUGUUAUAUCCAAUAUAACAAUAUUGAGAGGAACACAUAUUAUAAUGCGUCAACAUUUCUGAUCUUAUAAUAGAACGUGUAGAAAAACAACCUAUUUUAAUAAACUCCUCUUUAAGACUUGCUGUGUUUCAUUGCAGCAUGAUGCCCUCUAGUGUUUCAAUCAGGUUCUGAAUCAUAUUAUGAAAUAACUGCACUUCCAGUGGUUUAAACAUGCUGGAUUGGAGUCUGUAAAAAAAACCCUGCAGUUGCUUUUAUUUUAUUUUUUAAAUAAAUACAUGUAUUUAUUAUUUUGCAAUUUGUUUUCACAUAACUGGCUCUGCCUUGUUUGUUUUGACUGACACAAAGUUACGUUUUGAAAAUGGUUUUGGAUUAAUUGACAAUUACUUGUAAACAUGUUUAGUCUGUAUUCAUUUAUAAAGUUAUGGAUAUAUUUCCUUAUGUCUUGUUUGUAUUUGUGUGUGUUACUUUGAACCGUUUAUUAAAGUAACCUUAG
Long non-coding RNA from Gymnodraco acuticeps, 1171 nucleotides. RefSeq lists it as uncharacterized. NCBI's taxonomy places the organism in Eukaryota, Metazoa, Chordata, Actinopteri, Perciformes, Bathydraconidae. The transcript is spliced from 3 exons. The record is from RefSeq and is a predicted model, not a curated record.